UCUAAAUGUAAUUUUAUUCUAAAGUAGUAUUAGUUAUGAUCUUGAAAUUUAAAGAUUUUGGCGGUAUUUUAGUCUUUUCAGAGGAACCUGUUCUGUAAUUGAUAAUCCACGAUUAAUUAAACUUAAUUUUUUAGUUUGUAUAUCGUCGUGGUUUGAAUAUUUUAAAAGAAUUUAAUGUUCAUUUUUUUUUAUUAAAAUUAAUAUCAGAUCAAGGUGCAGCUUAUAAUUAAGGAGAAAUGGGUUACAUAUAAAUAAAUUUGUGGAUAUAAAAUAGAAAAUUUUAUUAAAAUUGGAUUUGAAAGUAAUUAAAUGUAUAAUCUUUUAAUGAUUAAGCUCUAAAAUAUGC
RNAcentral lists this ribosomal RNA (346 nucleotides) under Clypastraea fasciata. RNAcentral's name for it is "partial 12S ribosomal RNA". The record is from RNAcentral. Lineage: Eukaryota; Metazoa; Arthropoda; Insecta; Coleoptera; Corylophidae.